Molecule: long non-coding RNA, 3388 nt
Filed under: Homo sapiens (human)
Lineage: Eukaryota; Metazoa; Chordata; Mammalia; Primates; Hominidae
Description: ZBED3 antisense RNA 1, transcript variant 4 (ZBED3-AS1)
Source: RNAcentral
GACAUCAAGCAAGUCCCAGUUACAGAAAGAACCCACUGCAGGGCGUCCAGUCACUUGCCCAGUGAAAAGACUGUAAUCAGACAACUUUAAUAAAGGGAGAGCAGGAGAGUGGUGACGAAUUUCCACAUUCCGAACAAGCUUGUCGAAAGAGGAGUGCAGGGAAGGAGCAAGAAUGAGGCACUGGAAGACGGUGAGCGGGGCCUUGCCACAGAAUCCCGGGCCCACCUGCUUUCUCACAGUCGCGACAGCCGGCCCGGAGAAGGGCAGCCCAGCGAAGGGCACGCCCCGCGCGGGUGCCAGGGAGGCCGGCAGGGGCGUCCGCGGUCGCUGCUCACCUGCGCUCCCCGCUGCCCGGCCCAGCCCGCCUCGCCACCGAGUCUGGAAGCCCACACUCACCCCUUUACCCGGGAAACGCGGCCGGAGCCGGCGGCGGGUCGGGAGUCCGAGAUGGUAGAUCCCCCUCCAGGCGCCUCGCUGACAUUUUGUCCCGGACGGAAAACCUCCGCGCGUGCCCCUUAAAGACACAGCGCUGCAUUCACACGUCUGCGGGGAAAGGGGGGCCGUCACGUGUGGCCUUCGCCCGAAAGCGGUAGGGGAGUCGCUCUGAAACCGCCAAGGAUCGCGAGCGACAGAUUUGUGUUGGCCAGGGUUUUAAGAUGACGCAAUAGCUGAGUGUGGUUGAAAUGUAACUAUUGUUUUACAACUUUGCAUUAACCUUCCAAGACCUGAAUUCCCGGGCCUGAGUCUCAGAGCGCGGUUUGCAUCUUUGCAGGCUGUAGGCGCAUGAUGUCACAAGUUAUUGGAAGAAAUCCCUCCAACCUAGGUUGGGACAGAUGAAGGCGGCGCUUAUUGGUGUUCACCAAAACACCAGCAUGGUGUACCAGCUUUGGCUAGAUGAUGCUCAGAACACCAGAGACUGGGUAAUUAAUAAAAAGAAGAAAUUGAUCUGGCCUACAGUUCUGGAGCCUUGGAAGUCCGAGAUCAAGGAGCUGCAUCUGGAAAACACAGAUCCUGGUGCCGAACAUGAGGACAGGGCAGGCCGAAGGAGAAAGUGGAAGGAGGGGAGCUUCUCUCUCAGCCUCAUCCUUCUGGGCCUGGAUGCUGGAGAGUCAUGAGGUGCUUCAGAGUACUCUGGGUGAGGAGGGAAAGAUGGUGCCCACCACAUGGAGGCCAGCCUAGGUCUUGUAUGAAACCUGUGAGGUAUGAAGGAGUAAUUUUUCUUUCUAAGCCAUUUCUCUGCUUAUUUCUCAGAUCAGUGCCCUUUAUGUUUGAACUUGGUGUGAAUGACCAUCUUAGUGAUUCUUACUGCAAUGACAAUAGGGAGUUAAAUGACAUAAGUUUCUUUUUCAUGGGAAAGGAUAUAAAAAUGUAUCUGCAUGUGGUCAGUGUAGAAUAUUCCCAGCCAGAGGUGCAGUUUUCUGGAUCCCUCCCACAGACAUUGUGUGGAAGCACACCUAUUAACCGAUAAGGGGCGAAAUUUCACCAGAAUAGAGAAGCAUCCUCUUUGCCCUUUUCACAGGGGUGGGGAUGAGGUUAGGGGUGGGGUUAUACCUUCUUUGCUCACCCAGCUGCUUCUAUAUAUCUUAGCCUGGAUAUGCCUAAACUUAAGCCAAAACAAAAACUCAUAGACAGGUAGUUUAUUUGCAAAAUGAUACUAGGGAUCAGGAGUAAGGAAUGAGAGUAAAGCAGGGGAGGAAGAAAAGCCACUGCAAGCAUGCACUGUCAACAGAGGAAGGACCAACAAGCACAUGAAAGGUCUCAGUGUUACUAGUCACCAGAAUUCAAAUGAAAACCACCACGAGAUACCUACUAGAUGCCUAUUAGAAUGGCUACAUUAAAAAGACUGCAGCAACAAAUGUUGGUGAGGGUGUGGAACAGUCAGAGCUCUCAUCAAUUGUUGGUAGGGGUGUAAAUUGGUACAACUUUGGAAAGGUCUGGCACUUUCUUAAAAAACUAAACACACACUUUCUAUGACCCAGCAAUUUCAUUCCUAGAUAUUUGCCCAGCAGAAAUGAAAAUAUCUGUAUAUAAACAGACUUGUUUAAGAAUGUUCAUGGCCUGGCGUGGUGGCUCACGCCUGUAAUCCCAGCACUUUGGGAGGCUGAGGCGGGCGGAUCACGAGGUCAGGAGAUCGAGACCAUCCUGGCUAACAUGGUGAAACCCCGUCUCUACUAAAAAUACAAAAAAUUAGCUGGGCGUGGUGCAGGCGCCUGUAGUCUCAGCUACUUGGGAGGCUGAGGCAGGAGAAUGGCAUGAACCCAGGAGGUGGAGCUUGCAGUGAGCAGAGAUCGCGCCACUGCACUCCAGCCUGGGUGACAGAGCAAGACUCUGUCUCAAAAAAAAAAAAAAAAAAAAAGAGUGUUCACAGCAAGCAGCAUUAUGUGUUAUAGUCAGAAACUGGAAACAGGCCAGGCACGGUGGCUCAUGCCUGUAAUCCUAGCACUUUGAGAACCUCAGAUAGGAAGAUCGCUUGAGGCCAGGAGUUCGAGACCAGCCUGGGGAACAUAGCAAGACCCUGUUUUCACAAAAAAUAAAGACAUUAGCCAGGCAUGGUGGCACACAUCUGUAGUCCUAGCUACUUAGGAGGCUGAGGUGGGAGGAUCACUUGAGCCCAGGAGUUCAAGGCUGCAGUGACCUAUAAUCACCCACCCUGGGUGAUACAGUAAGACCUUGUUUCUAAACAAAACAAAACAAAACAAAAACUGGAAACAGCCCAUUAACAGAAGAAUGGAUAAAAAAACUGUGGUAUGUUCAUGCAAUGGAAUAUUGCCCAGCCAUAAAAAGGAAUAGAGUAUUGAUAUAAUAAUAUGGGUAAAUAUUAAAGCAUGCUGGGUGAAAAAAGCCUUACGCAAAAUAAUAUGGUAUUUUCCUAUUUAAAGUUCUAGAAUAGGCAGAACUAAUCUGCAAUGAAGAAAAAUCAAAAUAGUGAUCUGUGCAGAUGUGGGCGUACAAGUAGGAGUUGACAGAGAGCAGGCAUGAGGGAAUGUUCCUCUACAUCUUCAAAGGAGUUUGGGUUACACAUGUCAAUGUACUUUUCAAAACUUACUGAAUGGUACACUUACAAGUGUUCAUUUUAUUGAAUAUAAAUUUUGCCUUAAAAGAAAGACAUCAUAAAUGAAUACUGAAGUUUAGUUAAUGAUAUGCAUGCUGAAGUGUUAAGGGUGAAUUAUACUGUUAUCUGAAAAGUACUUUGAAAUGCAUUAAAAAUAAAAUAGAUUAGUAGAUGGAUAGAAUAAUAGAUAAAUGGAUAUACGUAUGAUAAAAGAAAUAGAAUAAGAUAUUAGUUGUACAAUCUAGAUAGGGAUAUAUGGGUUUUGACUGUAGCAUUCUUUCAACUUCUCUGUAUGCUUGAACAUUUUUAUAAUAAAAAGUGAGGUAAAAACAAAAA